CCUACGGUGGGCAGCAGUGGGGAAUAUUGCACAAUGGGGGAAACCCUGAUGCAGCGACGCCGCGUGAGUGAAGAAGUAAUUCGUUAUGUAAAGCUCUAUCAGCAGGGAAGAAAAUGACGGUACCUGAGUCAGAAGCACCGGCUAACUACGUGCCAGCAGCCGCGGUAAUACGUCGGGGGCAAGCGUUAUCCGGAUUUACUGGGGGUAAAGGGAGCGUAGACGGCAGUGCAAGUCUGGAGUGAAAGUCGGGGGCUCAACCCCCGGACUGCUGUGGAAACUGUACGGCUGGAGUGCAGGAGAGGUAAGUGGAAGUCCGAGUGUAGCGGUGAAAUGCGUAGAUAUUAGGAGGAACACCAGUGGCGAAGGCGGCUUACUGGAUUGUAACUGACGUUGAGGCACGAAAGCGUGGGGAGCAAACAGGAUUAGAUACCCUUGUAGUC
This 440-nucleotide ribosomal RNA is filed under the name uncultured bacterium. RNAcentral describes it as "partial 16S ribosomal RNA". It matches the Rfam family "Bacterial small subunit ribosomal RNA", at positions 338 to 795 of the family's 1533-position model. The record is from RNAcentral.